AGCCCCAAUAGCGUGCAUUAACGUUGUUGUGGUUGAACAGCCUGUAGUUGGAUUUCUGCCGAGGACGAUUGGUCCGCCCCGCGGGUGAGCAUCUGGGACGGCCUGGGCAUCUUAUUGGUGAUCGUGUCCGCACUUGGCGGUGUGGUGCGGCAUCCAGGACUUCUAAUGUGAGGCCGUUCGAGUGUUUCAAGCAGGCCCACGUCUUGAAUACAUCAGCUUGGAAUAAUAAGAUACAACCUCGGUUCUAUGUCGUUUGUUUCUAGAGCUGAUGUAAUGAUUAGCAGGGGUAGUUGAGGGCAUAUGUAUUUAUCUGUAAGAGGCGAACUUCUGCGAUUUGUUAAAGACGGACUAGUGCGAAACCAUUUGCCAAGCACGAUU
RNAcentral lists this ribosomal RNA (378 nucleotides) under uncultured eukaryote. RNAcentral's name for it is "SSU rRNA". It matches the Rfam family "Eukaryotic small subunit ribosomal RNA", at positions 587 to 969 of the family's 1831-position model. The record is from RNAcentral.